GACCACCGGGUCAAGAGGCCAGAGGUGCAAGCACAGCAAUGUGCUCAGCUGACUGGUGCUCAUCAGACGAGGUCUUGAUCU
RNAcentral lists this ribosomal RNA (81 nucleotides) under Deinococcus sp. Leaf326. RNAcentral describes it as "partial 23S ribosomal RNA". Lineage: Bacteria; Thermotogati; Deinococcota; Deinococci; Deinococcales; Deinococcaceae. The record is from RNAcentral.